Molecule: transfer RNA, 69 nt
Filed under: Rhodobium orientis
Lineage: Bacteria; Pseudomonadati; Pseudomonadota; Alphaproteobacteria; Hyphomicrobiales; Rhodobiaceae
Description: tRNA-Thr
Source: RNAcentral
UGGGUUUUUUGUUGCCCGACGUCAUUCGUAAUGAUGGAGUCGGCGGUUCGAAUCCGUCAUGCGGCACCA